UGGGGAAUAUUGGACAAUGGGCGAAAGCCUGAUCCAGCAAUGCCGCGUGUGUGAAGAAGGCCUGCGGGUUGUAAAGCACUUUCAGUGGGGAAGAAAAGCUUUCCGUUAAUAGCGGAGAGUCUUGACGUUACCCACAGAAGAAGCACCGGCUAACUCCGUGCCAGCAGCCGCGGUAAUACGGAGGGUGCGAGCGUUAAUCGGAAUCACUGGGCGUAAAGCGCGCGUAGGCGGUCUGGUAAGUCGGAUGUGAAAGCCCCGGGCUUAACCUGGGAAUUGCAUUCGAUACUGUCAGACUAGAGUUUGGUAGAGGGGAGCGGAAUUCCACGUGUAGCGGUGAAAUGCGUAGAUAUGUGGAGGAACACCAGUGGCGAAGGCGGCUCCCUGGACCAAAACUGACGCUGAGGUGCGAAAGCGUGGGUAGCAAACA
This 427-nucleotide ribosomal RNA is filed under the name uncultured bacterium. RNAcentral describes it as "bacterial SSU rRNA". It matches the Rfam family "Bacterial small subunit ribosomal RNA", at positions 355 to 774 of the family's 1533-position model. The record is from RNAcentral.